Molecule: ribosomal RNA, 406 nt
Filed under: uncultured bacterium
Lineage: Bacteria
Description: partial 16S ribosomal RNA
Rfam family: Bacterial small subunit ribosomal RNA
Source: RNAcentral
AUUGAACGCUGGCGGCAGGCCUAACACAUGCAAGUCGAACGAGUGGCGGACGGGUGAGUAAUGUAUGGGAAACUGCCCGAUGGAGGGGGAUAACUACUGGAAACAGUAGCUAAUACCGCAUACCAUCGGAUGUGCACAGAUGGGUUUGGCUAGUAGGUGGGGUAACGGCUCACCUAUGCGACGAUCCCUAGCUGGGCUGAGAGGAUGACCAGCCACACUGGAGCUGAAACACGGUCCAGACUCUGACGGGUGGCAGCAGUGGUGAAUAUUGCACAAUGGGCGCAAGCCUGAUGCAGCCAUGCCGCGUUUAUGAAGAAGGCCUUCGGGUUGUAAACCGCUUUCAGCCAUGACGCGGUAGUGGCAGAAGAAGCACCGGCUAACUACGUGCCAGCAGCCGCGGUAAUUC